RNAcentral lists this ribosomal RNA (433 nucleotides) under uncultured bacterium. RNAcentral describes it as "partial 16S ribosomal RNA". It matches the Rfam family "Bacterial small subunit ribosomal RNA", at positions 29 to 507 of the family's 1533-position model. The record is from RNAcentral.
AACGAACGCUGGCGGCAUGCCUAACACAUGCAAGUCGAACGAGACCUCCGGGUCUUGUGGCGCAUGGGGGCGUAACGCGUGGGAAGCUGCCCUUAGGUUCGGAAUAACUCCCCGAAUGGGGUGCUAAUACCGGAUAAUGUCUUCGGACCAAAGAUUUAUUGCCUUUGGAUGGGCCCGCGUUGGAUUCGGUAGUUGGUAGGGUAAAAGCUUACCAAGGCGAGGAUGCAUAGCUGGGUAGGGAGGAUGGUCAGCCACACUGGGACUGAGACACGGCCCAGAAUCCUACGGGAGGCAGCAGUGGGGGAUAGUGGACAAUGGGCGAAGGGCUGAUGCAGCAAUGCCGGGUAAGUGAUGAAGGCCGUAGGGUUGUAAAGCUCUUUUAACCGGGAUGAUAAUGACAGUACCGGGAGAAUAAGCGCCGGCUAACUCCGUG